RNAcentral lists this ribosomal RNA (491 nucleotides) under uncultured bacterium. RNAcentral describes it as "bacterial SSU rRNA". It matches the Rfam family "Bacterial small subunit ribosomal RNA", at positions 903 to 1397 of the family's 1533-position model. The record is from RNAcentral.
AAAUGAAUAGACGGGAGCCCGCACAAGCAGUGGAGUAUGUGGUUUAAUUCGACGCAACGCGAAGAACCUUACCGGGACUUGACAUCCUGAGAAUCCGGCGUAAAUGCCGGAGUGCCCUUCGGGGAGCUCAGAGACAGGUGGUGCAUGGUUGUCGUCAGCUCGUGUCGUGAGAUGUUGGGUUAAGUCCCGCAACGAGCGCAACCCUUACGGUUAGUUGCUACGCAAGAGCACUCUAGCCGGACUGCCGUUGACAAAACGGAGGAAGGUGGGGACGACGUCAAAUCAUCAUGCCCCUUACGUUCCGGGCUACACACGUACUACAAUGGCGCAAAAACAGAGGGGAGCGAGGCCGCGAGGCGGAGCAAAUCCCAAAAAGGCGCCCCAGUUCAGAUUGCAGGCUGCAACCCGCCUGCAUGAAGUCGGAAUUGCUAGUAAUCGCAAAUCAGAAUGUUGCGGUGAAUACGUUCCCGGGCUUUGUACACACCGCCCGU